GGUAGCGUGGCCGAGUGGUCUAAAGUGCUGGGUUUUUAGGCUCCAGUUUCUUCAGAGGUGUGGGUUUGAAUCCUGCCACUACCA
Molecule: transfer RNA, 84 nt
Filed under: Lepisosteus oculatus (spotted gar)
Lineage: Eukaryota; Metazoa; Chordata; Actinopteri; Semionotiformes; Lepisosteidae
Rfam family: tRNA
About the family: Transfer RNA (tRNA) molecules are approximately 80 nucleotides in length.
Source: Rfam by way of RNAcentral